RNAcentral lists this microRNA precursor (79 nucleotides) under Drosophila mojavensis. Its description in RNAcentral is "mir-955 microRNA precursor family". It matches the Rfam family "mir-955 microRNA precursor family". The record is from Rfam by way of RNAcentral. Lineage: Eukaryota; Metazoa; Arthropoda; Insecta; Diptera; Drosophilidae.
UAGCGAGCUCCAUCGUGCACAGGUUUGAGUGUUUGUGUUUGGCUAGUCGCAUUCAGCCUUUGAACGGUAGAGAUGGCCA